AAUUUUGUUUCUUUUAAGCUUAAAGUACAUAAAACUUCCUUAUAAAUAUUCACUUUUUUACUUUUUUUUUUUUCUGAACUUUUAAAAACCUACACUUUAUCCCCUCCCUCCCCAAUAAGGGUUUCAUCUGUUCCAUCUAUGUUUUAUAAUUUAUAUUAAAAAUAUCAUUGAAUAUUACAGAAUAUAUUAAUUUUUUUCUCUAAAAAAGAGCAAUUUGAUCAUUUCACCCUCCUAUUAAUGCUGUUAUCCAUUGAAAAUAUUUUUUAAAUUUUAAGGAAACAAAAUAUAGAUUUUUAAAUGUCAGAAAAGAAAAAUAAAAAAAAAGUAAUAUUUACAAACAUAUUUUCUAUAUUGUAGCCUUCUUUUUAAAUUUAAUAGCAAUAGUACUCCAAA
RNAcentral lists this long non-coding RNA (393 nucleotides) under Ananas comosus (pineapple). RNAcentral's name for it is "long non-coding RNA (ACOM_LNC026527)". The record is from RNAcentral. Lineage: Eukaryota; Viridiplantae; Streptophyta; Magnoliopsida; Poales; Bromeliaceae.